Molecule: long non-coding RNA, 407 nt
Organism: Sitodiplosis mosellana (orange wheat blossom midge)
Lineage: Eukaryota; Metazoa; Arthropoda; Insecta; Diptera; Cecidomyiidae
Exons: 4
Source: RefSeq, a predicted model, not a curated record
UCUGUUUUACAAGUUUUUUUUAUCUAGUUUAAAAGUCAUUGAAAAGGCGGAAUAUUUAAAUAUUGCUUGAUUUUUUUUUCAGGAAACACACGCAUUUUAAAAACCCUCAUUAACAAUGGUGCUGACGUGAAAAAUGAAUCGAUUGCACUUGUUUGGGCCGCUAAAAAUGGGCAUUUGGACAUCGUUAAACUAUUGACUGAAAAUGGAAUGAAUGUCACGGGCACUCCCGAAGCACUCAAUUGGGCCGCUAAGAAAAAUGGAAAUGUGAAUGUUGUGAAAUAUCUUAUUAAAAAUGGUGCACCAGUUCAAUACACAGACCGAUAUGGUUUUACUCCGCUUCAUAUGGCUGCUGAAUGUGGUGAUGUAAAUAUUAUGAAAUUUCUCGUUGAACAUGGUGCUGAAAUAGA